This 750-nucleotide long non-coding RNA is filed under the name Marmota monax (woodchuck). The record is from RNAcentral. Lineage: Eukaryota; Metazoa; Chordata; Mammalia; Rodentia; Sciuridae.
GUCAUUCCCCAUUUCUUGCCAACAGAAACUUGAUUCUUUAACUAUCUGAUGGCCUUGGACAGGAGUCCUCCCCAGCCCAUGGGAAUCCCACUGCUCACCUGUGAUUGGCUUGGAGUGGCCAUGGGAGCUGGUUCUGGCCAAUGAAAUCUGAAGGGCAUAUCUGUUGCAAUUUCCGGGAGAUUUUUCACCCUCUGUGAUAAACGGGGCUACAGAAGAAGCUCUGUCCUCUAGAAAGAGAACUUUUUAGGACAGCUGUGUGAAGAUGUGAUGAACUACUACCUGAGGUAAACUCAAGGGGAAUCCAAUGGAAGGAGGCUGAAACUGGUGGCUGGGAAAGUUGGGCUACUGAAUGCUGGUAAGGACUUCUGGACUUCUGUCACAGAAGACAAUGGGACUCCAAAUGUGUAACUGAAAUGAAAAGCAUCAGAAACUAGUAGGUAACACCUGACAUGGAAAUCACACCACCUUUUUUUUUAUUCCUGGUACUGGUACUGGGGCUUGAACCCCAGGGUGCUUUACUACCGAGCUAUAACCUCAGUUCUUUGUUUUAUUUUCUAUUUUGAAACAGGAUCUCACUAAGUGGCUAAGGCUAGCUUUGAAUUAGUGAUCCUCCUGCCUCAGCCUCCUGACUAUCUGGAAUUAUGGGCAGGUGCCACUGCACCUGGCUGAAUUAAUAACUUUUGAAGAUACUCACAAAGCCUUUUUAGUGCGCUUUAUUGUUUAACAUGUUAUAGGAUCAGUAAAGGCUUG